GGAGACAUAACAUGAAAAACCCACUUUUUUAUCCAUUAACACGGUGUGUUUCACAUUUUAAGUGUCUAAGUGAGCAAAAAGGCUUAUAUUAUUCACUGGAGUUGCUAUUUAGAUAUUUAAUAAUUAAGUUUUGGGCAUAUUUGUCCACCCGUUCAGUUUUUACAUUAUCUAUUACAUCAGUAAUUAAUUUAGUGAGGAUAACUACCAAAUAUGGUAAUGGCCCUCGGCUAAACACAGAGCCAAUCCGCCAUUUUUUCUUCUCGCUAAGAUUUUUUGUAGUCCUAUUGGAAAAAUGCAGAAUGUCUGGUUAUUUUAGCCACACACAGCUCAAAACUGUUCCUCGUUUUAAGGAAGGGUGGUGUGGCAGUAUUUAAACCCAGGAGCUGAUGACACUACUGCUAAAAAAACAAAGAAGAAAAAGUAGUGUGUGUGUGUUUGUGUGUGUGUGUGUGUGUGUGUGUGUGUGUGUGUGUGUGUGUGUGUGUGUGUGUGUGUGUGUGUGUGUGUGUGUGUGUGUGUGUGUGUGUGUGGUUCGUUCGUUCUGUCUCCAGGCUAGUGGCUAAGUACUGAGGGCUUCAUCUAUCUAAAAGGAGUUAUUUCCAUCUGAAUGUGGCAGCACCGGGACACAGCAGCAGAGCGAGUCCACAUCCAGAAGACUGGAGCCGUGUUUCACUGACAGGCUGUCAGCCUAACGCCCUGAUGAGCUCAGCUGGGACAAACUGGUCUGAUGUUUAGGAACACAGAACGUUCAGAUGUUGGCGUUUCACCUCACCUACUGAGGAAGGAGACCCACCAGUAAAGAGACGGUAGCUGGACCAGACCAAAAAUAUGGCGAUGACAUCAUGGAACUGGUCUUUGGAAAAGUUUUCCCUGAACCAACUCCGUUUCUAGAUGAGGUAGAGAAGAUCUGCAUCUCACCAACCCUCUGGUCUCAGUAUUCAGACAACGGAGGUCUCCCACUGUUGUCCAGGACCAGUUUGAAGCCCACAUACUGCCCCUCCCUCAUCAUCAGGAAACAUCAAUCCGUAUCCUGAGGACAACAGAAGACGGCAGGAGGACAGGAACUCUGAGACCUAGAUACCACCAGCACUGGGACACAAAGCACCUGUGUGCACAACGCCUGUUUUAACUACUAAAGCCUGUUUAUUAUAUUGUUCUACUUAUUUGCUGUGAGGUUAAUACUUAGAAAAUUUGUAUAUUAAUGUAAACAAUAAAAAAAAUCACUGAUUGUAUGCUUUCUUUUAGAUGUAAUGGUCCAAACUCAGCCUUGUAGACAUUUAUUGCAUCCUGUAGGUAAAUACACAGAACAGGCUCAGGUCCAGGAUGACCCAGCAUGCUCUUCUUCCAUUCUGGCUGUUAGGGGUUGUAUCAAUAACUCAAUGCCUACUGAUGUUUCCACCUAACGGUAUUUAUUUAGAAUGCAGGUCAGAUUUAACUAUAUUUGUUAGCAAAGCAGACUGAUCUUGGGAAUUUCACUGCAGCACUGAUGUCCACCUCUCUGUACACAUUAGAGAGAAUUACCACUUUACAGCUAAACACAUAUUUAAUAAAGAUAUAGGCUACGCAUUGCAGACAAUAAAAACAAAGUUGUAAGCAUUAGAAUUAUAAUGAUGACAUUAAAGAACACUUGGAGGAAUGUUCUUUAUUUUUGACUAGAAUCUCAAAUCUUUAAAUUAAAAUGUAACUGCUUUUUAUCCAUUUUCAGCCAUUAAGACACCCAAUAUAAAAUAAGACUACUUAUAAAAUUAUUUAUAAUUAUAUGUAUGUAUAUAGAUAGAGAUCUUAAUAAAAUAUAUUCUUUGAA
This is a non-coding RNA of Nothobranchius furzeri (turquoise killifish), 1804 nucleotides long. NCBI's taxonomy places the organism in Eukaryota, Metazoa, Chordata, Actinopteri, Cyprinodontiformes, Nothobranchiidae. The record is from RefSeq and is a predicted model, not a curated record.